RNAcentral lists this ribosomal RNA (1119 nucleotides) under uncultured organism. Its description in RNAcentral is "bacterial SSU rRNA". It matches the Rfam family "Bacterial small subunit ribosomal RNA", at positions 309 to 1441 of the family's 1533-position model. The record is from RNAcentral.
CACACUGGGACUGAGAUACGGCCCAGACUCCUACGGGAGGCAGCAGUAGGGAAUAUUGCGCAAUGGCCUAACGGCUGACGCAGCAACGCCGCGUGGAUGAUGAAGCUUUUCGGAGUGUAAAAUCCUUUCAGCAGGGAAGAAUAUCUUGACGGUACCUGCAGAAGAAGUCCCGGCCAACUCCGUGCCAGCAGCCGCGGUAACACGGGGGGGACAAGCGUUGUUCGGAUUCACUGGGCGUAAAGCGCUCGUAGGUGGGCUGGAUAGUCGGAUGUGAAAACCUGAGGCUUAACUUCAGGCCUGCAUCCGAAACUGCCAGUCUUGAGUACUGGAGAGGGUGGCGGAAUUCCUGGUGUAGCGGUGAAAUGCGUAGAUAUCAGGAGGAACACCGAUGGCGAAGGCAGCCACCUGGACAGAUACUGACACUGAGGGGCGAAGGCUAGGGUAGCAAACAGGAUUAGAUACCCUGGUAGUCCUAGCGGUAAACGAUGGGCACUAGGUGUUGGCGGUAUCGACCCCGCCAGUGCCGCAGCAAACGCAUUAAGUGCCCCGCCUGGGGAGUACGGUCGCAAGAUUGAAACUCAAAGGAAUUGACGGGGGCCCGCACAAGCGGUGGAGUAUGUGGUUCAAUUCGACGCAACGCGCAGAACCUUACCUGGGCUUGACAUAUACCGGAAAGCCACAGAGAUGUGGUUCCUCCUUCGGGAGUCGGUAUACAGGUGCUGCAUGGCUGUCGUCAGCUCGUGUCGUGAGAUGUUGGGUUAAGUCCCGCAACGAGCGCAACCCUCGUUCUUAGUUGCCAUCAGGUUAUGCUGGGGACUCUAAGAAGACUGCCGGUGACAAGCCGGAGGAAGGUGGGGAUGACGUCAAGUCCUCAUGGCCCUUACGCCCAGGGCUACACACGUACUACAAUGGCCGGUAUAGACGGCAGCAAUACCGCAAGGUGGAGCUAAUCCCUAAAACCGGCCUCAGUUCAGAUUGGAGUCUGCAACUCGACUCCAUGAAGGUGGAAUCGCUAGUAAUCGCAGAUCAGCAUGCUGCGGUGAAUACGUUCCCGGGCCUUGUACACACCGCCCGUCAAGCCAUGGGAGUGGGGGGUACCCGAAGUCGCCGACCUAACUU